CAUUUUUGAAACAUUACAACUUUUUUCCCCCUUGAAUUUCUUGAAUAUUUUUAUUCUCCCAAUUUUUACACUUUCUCAUGUUCCGCCCCCCCAUUCGAUCUGAACCUCAUUUUAAUUUUUUUUGCAGACAUUUAGAACUUUAUAA
Molecule: long non-coding RNA, 145 nt
Organism: Hippocampus zosterae (dwarf seahorse)
Lineage: Eukaryota; Metazoa; Chordata; Actinopteri; Syngnathiformes; Syngnathidae
Exons: 2
Source: RefSeq, a predicted model, not a curated record